This 253-nucleotide ribosomal RNA is filed under the name uncultured bacterium. Its description in RNAcentral is "partial 16S ribosomal RNA". It matches the Rfam family "Bacterial small subunit ribosomal RNA", at positions 524 to 776 of the family's 1533-position model. The record is from RNAcentral.
UACGGGGGGGGCAAGCGUUGUUCGGAAUUACUGGGCGUAAAGGGCUCGUAGGCGGCCAACUAAGUCGGACGUGAAAUCCCUCGGCUUAACCGGGGAACUGCGUCCGAUACUGGAUGGCUUGAGUUUGGGAGAGGGAUGCGGAAUUCCAGGUGUAGCGGUGAAAUGCGUAGAUAUCUGGAGGAACACCGGUGGCGAAGGCGGCAUCCUGGACCAACACUGACGCUGAGGCGCGAAAGCUAGGGGAGCAAACGGG